RNAcentral lists this ribosomal RNA (183 nucleotides) under Euglena gracilis. RNAcentral's name for it is "partial small subunit (SSU) ribosomal RNA". Lineage: Eukaryota; Euglenozoa; Euglenophyceae; Euglenales; Euglenaceae. The record is from RNAcentral.
AUAUUGAAUAUAGAUAUUAUCAUUCUAUUGAAUAUGUACUCAAUAAGUAAUCAUUAAAUAUAAAUAUAUAAAUGGUGAAUAGAUAUUAGAUUUUUACACACUGNNCGACAUAGACUUAUUAUAUAAUAUAGUCUGAAGUUGUAACAAGGUAGGUAUAUAUAAAUAUGUGCCUGAUUAUAAUAU